AUACGGAGGGUGCGAGCGUUAAUCGGAAUUACUGGGCGUAAAGCGUACGUAGGCGGUUGGUUAAGUUAGAUGUGAAAGCCCCGGGCUUAACCUGGGAACUGCAUUUAAAACUGGCGAACUAGAGUUGAGUAGAGGGGAGUGGAAUUUCAGGUGUAGCGGUGAAAUGCGUAGAGAUUUGAAGGAACACCAGUGGCGAAGGCGACUCCCUGGACUCGAACUGACGCUGAGGUACGAAAGCGUGGGUAGCAAACGGGAUUAGAAACCCUAGUAGUCC
Molecule: ribosomal RNA, 274 nt
Filed under: uncultured bacterium
Lineage: Bacteria
Description: partial 16S ribosomal RNA
Rfam family: Bacterial small subunit ribosomal RNA
Source: RNAcentral